This 230-nucleotide ribosomal RNA is filed under the name uncultured Alicycliphilus sp. RNAcentral's name for it is "partial 16S ribosomal RNA". It matches the Rfam family "Bacterial small subunit ribosomal RNA", at positions 550 to 774 of the family's 1533-position model. Lineage: Bacteria; Pseudomonadati; Pseudomonadota; Betaproteobacteria; Burkholderiales; Comamonadaceae. The record is from RNAcentral.
AGCUGAUCAUUGGGUGUAAAGUGUGCGCAGGCGGUUUUGUAAGACAGAGGUGAAAUCCCCGGGCUCAACCUGGGAACUGCCUUUGUGACUGCAAGGCUGGAGUGCGGCAGAGGGGGAUGGAAUUCCGCGUGUAGCAGUGAAAUGCGUAGAUAUGCGGAGGAACACCGAUGGCGAAGGCAAUCCCCUGGGCCUGCACUGACGCUCAUGCACGAAAGCGUGGGGAGUAAACA